RNA transcript from Phyllostomus discolor (pale spear-nosed bat), 9420 nucleotides. It is a transcript of the gene named ataxin 7, with no coding region annotated. The record is from RefSeq and is a predicted model, not a curated record. NCBI's taxonomy places the organism in Eukaryota, Metazoa, Chordata, Mammalia, Chiroptera, Phyllostomidae. The transcript is spliced from 9 exons.
AAAACGUUAAAAAAAUGUGACCAUGUCCCCAGACCUAGACACUUAAUAUGAGCCAUCAUCAGAGGAUUUAAUAUCAGUAGAAACUUUGUAGAAUGGAAAUGGUUUGAAGAAAAUAAUAACAUUGCUUUUUAAGCUGAACAGAGCUGUAUUUGCUUAAACAUUUUACGAAGGGCAUUGAGAGAGGUGUAUGUGUAUUUAAAAGAUUAAUUUGAGCUUUAUGCUUAGUUUUUGUGUAUUUGUUAUAUUGUAAAAAAUUAUAAUUUCCUGUAGUACACUAUCAUUCACGUUUUUUGACGUAUGUGUUAGAUUUGUUUCUCUCUUGGUUAUUAUAUAUGAAAUUAAAUGUAGACGUGUUUGUAGCAUUUAAAAACAUUUGCUGAAAUUCACCCUGGUUUUUGUCAGGGUUACAGAUAUUUUGUUCCCAGAACUGUCACGGAUUGGCUGGUUCUCAUAAUGAUUGUGUUCCCCAUUGCACUGUCACCCUCUACAAAAGGGGACAUAGAAAGGCAAGCAUCAGUGCUGGGAAACUGGCAAGGAGGCCACUGUCAGGCCUGGCGGGUACAGUUGUGUGGAACUGAAGCAAAGUCUGAGAAGCAUCCUCUCAUCUCAUUUCUGUUCUACAUUUGAUGUCAUCAAGUGCUGCCCACUGGGCAGGCAGGUGGGUGCAGUGAAUAGUACUAAGACCUGAUGCAAUCAGGUAGUAGUACAGCAGUGGACUUUUUUCCAGCAGCUUAAGAAAACCUUCAGUGAAUUAACCUAAAAUUCUUAUUUGUUGCUAAUUAACUUUUGAGAAAUUUGCUCAUCCUGUCCUUCUAAGGCUCAUUGAUGGCUCUUUCCUUGUGUUCGUCUCUUGUCUUUUAAGGACCACCAUAGUUUUGUUUGUUUGAAUGUGACUGUAAGAAAUCUAUAAAAAAAAAGUAUGUUUCAGAAAAUCCUCUGGAUCUUAAUAUUGCUGCAAUGGUUAGAAUGUGAAUGCUUGCUGUGAAAAUAAAGCAGUGUGGCUGCUAUUCUUUUGUUUUAGAGUCAAUUUAGAAUUUUUAUCUGGUCUAAUAGGAGCCAUUUCCUAUGUCUCACAACUCUUUCCCACCCCUUCCAGGCUGAAUUCUUUCCACACAUGUAAUUCGUAACUUGUUGCCAGAUACUCUGCAUGGGGUGAUGGGAUUCUCUAAACAAAUCCGCCUGUCCCCACACCCCCAGGACAUACACCCUUUUGACAUUUAAAAGUGUUCAUUCUGAACUAUAAGACAUCUGAGUCUUGUUUUUGUGUGCAGCCUUUAUUAUCAUAAAACUCAGAUCCAUUGGUUUUCUUUUUUCCAUUUCUGUUUAACACUAAGACUUGGUGAUUGACAAGGGGGGAAGUAUUGAUAUAGAUGGGGAGUAUAAUAUGGCUGAGACAGGGAAACACCUAAAGCAUGAACACAUUGUUUACAAAGAGCCACUUAGAGGAGUUUUUAGAUUAUGAAUAUUAAAGGUAGUCAGCUUUUGUCAGUCAUUCACUGAUUGAGACUCUGGACAAUCAGGUGCAUAUUCUUCUGAAAUUAGAUAUGUUUUACAAAUAUGCACAAAAAAUGGGUUCAGAUUUUUGUAACUAUAUUUAAGAAGAAAGGUGUGCUUAGAUGUGACAAACUUUCAUUUUUUUAAAGUACAGAUCAUGAAGAAAUAAAAUGUAGAGGAAGCCUUGCUGAUAUUUAUAAAAAUGUGUAACUUUAAAACUUCUUAGUCUAUUGAGGCUUAAAGUGUAGAAUGUAUAAUGAAUUGUGUGGAUUUUCUAAUGUAUCUGGUAGUAGCAGUGUUUGUUUCAAGGUAUUCAGAAAAUCAGAGUGUGGAUAAUUCAUUGUAGCCAGUUAAAUUUAUAAAUUUCAUCUUCCCCAGUUCUGGCAAGUUGCCUUUCAAAUAGAAGGAUUAAUUUACACCAACCAGGACGCCUUCCUUGUAUGACCAUAUUAGAUGAAAUUAGACUCCACCCCUUGUUUUCUGUUGAUCUGCCAGGACCUUUGUAAUUCAAGUGCUUUUUACAGUAGUAGCAAAUGUUACAUAAGACCAAACAUGGAGCAUAUUUCAACUUGGUGGGCAGACCCAAAUCAUGAUGGAAGCCUUCAGUAGCAAGUGUGCAAUUAAGCACAGCCAAAUUAUGUGAAUGGAAGGUAAAAAGAAGCCUCUCCUGAGCAGCCCUUCCUCCGCACCAGGGCUGAAAGCUCCACUGGAAAGAAGACAUAGCUCAUCCAGCAAGCCUUCUUUGGCUGUUCCUCCUACAUCAGUAUUCUCCUUCUUCCCUUCUCUGUCCAAAAGCAAAGGCAGCAGUGCUGGUGGAAGCAGCCAUUGUGCCAGCAGAAGUGUUCUCAGCACAUCUUCAUUAAGUUCCAAGCUGUUGAAAUCGCCCAAAGAGAAACCACAGCUCAGGGGGAACACCAGGCCAAUGCAUCCCAUUCAGCAGAGUAGAGUCCCCCAUGCUAGAAUCAUGACGCCCUCUGUUAAAGUGGAGAAAAUUCAUCCAAAGAUGGAUGGCACACUACUGAAAUCUGCGAUAGGGCCAACCUGUCCUGCUACUGUGAGUUCCUCAGUCAAGCCUGGCCUUAACUGCCCCUCAAUACCAAAGCCAACCUUGCCUUCACCUGGACAAAUUCUGAAUGGCAAAGGGCUUCCUACACCGCCCACUCUGGAAAAGAAGUCUGAAGAUAAUUCUAAUAACAGGAAAUUUUUAAAUAAGAGAUUAUCAGAAAGAGAGUUUGAUCCUGACAUACACUGUGGGGUUAUCGAUCUCGACACCAAGAAGCCCUGCACCCGAUCUUUGACGUGCAAGACACAUUCCUUAACCCAGCGGAGGGCUGUCCAGGGUAGAAGAAAACGAUUUGAUGUGUUACUUGCCGAGCACAAAAACAAAACCAGGGAAAAGGAAUCGAUUCGCCAUCCGGACUCUCAGCAACCAAUGCAGCCUCUCAGGGACCCGCAUCCCGCCCCUCCUAGAACUUCACAGGAGCCACACCCAAACUCUCAAGGAGUGAUUCCUUCCGAAUCAAAGCCUUUUGUAGCUAGUAAACCUAAACCUCACACCCCUAGUCUUCCAAGGCCUCCAGGCUGCCCUGCUCAGCAAGGUGGGAGUGCCCCCAUUGACCCUCCUCCAGUCCAUGAAUCUCCACACCCUCCCCUGCCUGCCACUGAGCCAGCUUCUCGGUUAUCCAGUGAGGAGGGAGAAGGCGAUGACAAAGAAGAGUCUGUUGAAAAACUGGACUGUCAUUAUUCAGGUCAUCAUCCUCAGCCAGCAUCUUUUUGCACAUUUGGGAGCCGGCUGAUUGGAAGAGGCUAUUAUGUGUUUGACUCCAGGUGGAACAGGCUUCGCUGUGCCCUCAACCUCAUGGUGGAGAAGCAUCUGAACGCACAGCUGUGGAAGAAAAUCCCACCAGUGCCCAGUAUCACAUCCCCUGUCUCUACACGUGUUCCUCACCGGACAAACUCAGUGCCGACGUCACAAUGUGGGGUCAGCUGCCUGGCAGCAGCCACUGUGUCUACAUCCCCAGUCCUGCUCUCAUCCACCUGCAUCUCCCCAAACAACAAAUCGGUACCAGCUCAUGGAACCACCCUAAAUGCACAGCCUGCCACAUCUGGAGCGAUGGAUCCCGUGUGCAGUAUGCAAUCCAGACAAGUGUGCUCCUCAUCCUCGUCCCCUUCCAUGCCCUCUGGCCUUUCCUCAGUCCCCUCCUCCCCUAUGUCCAGGAAACCUCAGAAGUUGAAAUCCAGCAAGUCUUUAAGGCCCAAGGAGUCUUCUGGUAAUAGCACUAACUGUCACAACACCUGUAGCAGUACCAGCGGCACCUCAGGAAAGAAACGCAAAACCAGUUCUCCACUGUUAGUUCACUCUUCUUCCUCCUCGUCCUCCUCCUCCUCUUCUUCUCAUUCCAUGGAGUCUUUUAGGAAAAACUGUGUGGCUCACUCUGGGCCUCCCUACCCUUCCACGCUAACAUCUUCCCAUGGUAUGGGCCUCAACUGUGUGGCAAAUAAAGCGAACUCAGUGAGUGUCCGGCACGAGCAGUCAGGGAGGGCUGCCCCUGGAGGGAGCCCUGCUGAGUCCAUCAAGAGGAUGAGUGUGAUGGUGAACAGCGGCGACUCGACACUUUCCCUUGGCCCAUUCAUCCACCAGUCCAGCGAACUGCCCAUCAACUCCCAUGCCAGUUACUCACACUCACACACUCCUCUAGACAAACUCAUAGGAAAGAAAAGAAAGUGCUCACCCGGCUCAAGUGGCAUCAGCAACAACAGCAGCAAACCCACAAAAGUUGCCAAAUUGCCAGCCAUGAACAAUGUCCACGUGAAACAUAUGGGCACCAGCCCAGGGGCACAAGGACUGACGAAUAGUUCCUUCCUUCAUCAGGUAGGAAAUGCACUGCAAGCCUUUUAUGGGUUGCUACCUCCUCUCCCUUGACAUCUUUUGCCAGCUUGGAUGUCUGUGUGGUUGUGUUGGUUGGUUUGCCUAUAAACAGAUGUCCAGCUUUCUGGUAUCUUAAGGAAGAGUUCAUGGCCAUCCGAAGAUAAAAUAGGCUUCUCUUUGCCAAAAUUUCUUAUGACCUGGAGCAUGUCCCUGGGUCAGGAAGCCACAACAGUGCAUUUUAGCAGAUAGGGCUGUGGAAACCAUCCCACGUGACAGCAGAAUGCCUUCCCACAACCAGUGAGCGUAGUCCUGCGGGGACAACAUUCAUCUGCGAUGUUGUUCAGGGAGGAUGCACUUUCCUGGAGAGCAAGAAGAAAGCUGGGCUAAAAUUCAACUGAUCUACAAAGGGAUGAUGUAAAUUUUAAAAAGAAAGUGCUUUUAAUAUUUUUCCAGUGGAGAAUUUUGUAUUUUCUGGUUAACUCUCUUUGUAUGUUUUCACCUCCCUGUUUUCCAAAGAGGCAGGAAAAACAGCAUUAGUAUGGGCAUAGCAGAAGACUAAAACCUCCCAAGUUAACAGAUUAAAAAGAAAUCUGUGGUGCAUUUGUACAGAAGUAGCUAAGUGGGUGUCAGAUUCUUAAUUAACCAUGUCUUUCUCACUAAUGUUGUGUCUGUCUUUCCCCCACUCCUCCAUCUGUUACUGUUUUCUCCUGACCUCUCCUUUAGCUGGUUCUUUCAGCUCCCUUUGCUCUAACUUCCAGCUCAUCUCUCAUCUUGUUAUUUCAUUCAUCCGGGUAUCUCCUUACCUUGCUUAUGAACAGGAAUUUCAGCAGCAUCACCCCCCCCCCCCCCCCGCCCAGAUUUAAAAUCCAAAGACACGUCCCUGACAACCGAAUAUAGCACGGGGAGGAAUAAUCUGGACACUUUCGACGACAAGUUACACCUCCACUCAGCACUCUGGACUCCAAGAUGCCUUUGAGUCUGUUUUCCCAACCUCCUGUGGGCCUCAAGGAUAGAGAUCUGCCGGGCUGUUGUUUUAACCAGGAUUUCCCUGAAGAUUGUCUGUAGCAGUGAGUAUUCGUAAAGGACACUGGAUCAAGUUCAGCCACCGAGUUGCUUCUAUCAGUGUUAAAGUGGUCUGGACUGCUUGUUACCAAUCUGUGAGACAUUUUUGUUUUGUUUUUUAAAUUGCAGUGUAUCACGGAGCCACUCUUCAAGUAGAUUGGCUGGGUCGAAAGAGUGCUCUGGCAAGAACAUUACUAUAGAAUUUUCUCCCUUCCUCCUCUUUUCACCCCAGUUCUUUUUACACUGUCUUCUGCAGGUCACUGUCUGGAGUUAAGGUGUCACCCUGCUAGAUAGCUGACCUAGUUGAAGCUCCCUAAACUAGGGAGUGAAUGCAGUGAGACAUGCUGUGAAGCCUAGGAGAUAGGGCUGGGUGGUCUGUUCAUGGCCAGAGUUCCCUCUCCCCGAGCAUAGAAACUGCUUUGGGUGUGAGUUUUCACAUCUCUAUGGACUAGCCCAUUGACCUUGUUCAGUUCUAGCAGGUAGGUACCUUAACUGGAGACACCUUCCAAAGGGGAGACAGGGUUCUUACCCUGAGCAGCCCUCUAGAGAAGGGAAUCUGUCAUUAGGUUUUUAUAGCAAUGUUUCAGGAAUGGAAUAUGUGUGUUAGUGCAAGACACCAUGACAGAAUAGCCUGUAUUUUUCCCAGCAUUUUGCAAGUCAUUUGGGAUAAGAAGCUGUCAAAAGUUUUAAACUUACAGACCGGUUUUAAAGCUACUGAUGCCCAGAGAGCAAAUAUACACCAUUUUAGAAGCUUACUUUUCAUGGUACAAAAGCGAUUCUGUGUGAUUUACAAAAAAGAAGAAAAAAACUAGUUUUGAUAAUGGAAAGCCAAAAUUUUGAGGAGUGGUGGAUAAAAAUCGCUACAUGGGGAAAGAUCUGUCCAAGAUUUACAAAGAGGUGGAAUUUUCCUAUCCUUUUAAGUCUUCAUGUUAAAGAGUACGGCAGAUUGGGUUGGUUGUCUUGCCCAAUCCCGUUUUCAAAAAAUUACUUUUGUAAAGUGAAAUUAUCAGGAUGCGGCAGAAACUGUCAUUCACAAAGUCAUUAAUAUACUUAAAUAUUUCCAAGGCACUCUCUGUACUAUAUCCUCCAGCUCCCCUCUGAAUACUGUCCUGGACUAAGGGUAAAUUUCUGCUUUGAGCAUUCUUUCAUGUUAUGUGUGUGCACUCCCGCUCCUGCCAUUACAGAUGUUUAUUUGGUUGCCACUGGGGUAGGGAGCAGGCACCCGAGAAGGGAGGGUAGUGAAUUUGUACAAGUACCCAUGAAGAGAUGAUGGAUGCACAUGUAGUAUUUCCCUGACAUACCCUCUUUUCUUAGGAUUCAUGCCAGCCAUCUUUCUAAGAGAGUUUUGGAGACCCUCCAGGAUAUUUUUUUCUAGUACUCCACCCCAAAAGAAGGAGCUUUAUAUGUUAAAACAUCAUUGCUUUAGAAAGUUUGAGGGAUAAGUUGGAGCUUUUUAACAGGUCAUUCAACUGAUCACAGCUUCUCAAACAAGAACCAGGCACAUAUGCUUAGAAGAACACACAGUUGCUGAACACAGGAUAAAUUUCCCAGGGCUCUGGUGACCACCCUGGGCAGGACCUAGGCAGGGCCAGUCAGUGCAUCCUUUCUUCCCUGCAAUUCUUGGGUUACUUCAGUUUCAGGGAAUUUCAAGUCAACAACAGGUGGAAUGAAUGAAUACUUUGUUAUCAGCCUAAUAAUGUGAAUUGCUACAGAAUUAAUCAUAUGUAAGAAAACAAAAACUUUAUGCAGAUACUUUAGCUAUAAAUUGAUGUAAAAUACUGAUUUUUUUAAAAAGAAGAGAACAGUAUCUUGUGCACUUAUUAUGCAAUCAAUCAGUAAAUGUUUUUAAAAUGAUACUGUAGGAGUGCUCAGUAAGGAGAGAAGCCUAGGUGGGCUGGUUUGGUGUAGUUUGGAGAAAUCAGUCUGGUUGUUCCAUCCCAAUGGAUGAAGAGGAUGAGGUAAGAGGGAAUCAGAACGUAUUCAGUUGAUUCCUUGGUGACAAGUGCAAUGGGGUAUGGGUAGAAUUUAUUUUCAGAGCUAAGGGGAAUUGAUGGUUAUAAAUGAAGUUGCUUUUAGCGAUGGAAUUUAUAGACAGAUCAUGUUGUUCCGAAAGAUGUGAAUAGGAUCCACAAUAGCAAGUUGGUUUAGAAUAAUGUAGCUGUAUCUAGAUUAGCAGUGUUGAUUAUUUAAUUUCGUAGACUGAGGUUUUAAUUGGAUUUUAUCAUGUCUCCCGGUAGUACAAAAAGCAUCGGGAUUAGGAAAUUAGCCAUUUUGGAUUCUGCCUGCCACAAACAGACAUAUUCUAAACAGUGCUAUUAAAUUUUAGACUGUUUAAAUAUUUUAUUUUCUCCUACAACUACUUUUUAUUAUGAUGGACAAUUAAGACCAUUUAAAACAUGGGAAUACAAGUAUUUUUUUUAAUUAAAUUAACUUGCAAAAACCAAAUUUGCAGUGGUUGGGUUGUUUCUAGACAGACUUUGGUAUCAAUUUAAAACCAAGAUAAUUUUUAUAUUCUUUCCAAUAGAAUUUCAUGACAACUCCUGCAGUUUUCUUAACCUUAAAAAUAAAGUGCUGCAAUGAUGAACAAAGAAUUAUAGAAAACCUACUUUUGUACCUUUAUUUUGGAAUUUCUUGUUCUAUUAUAAAUAUGGAAGUAUCCCUAUCUCAGAAGACAUAUUUUGUUAAAAAUGAAUUGUACAUAUUUAAAUAUGUAUUUUUGCACAGGUCUUUUUUUCUGAUAUCCUGUUUUGGUACAAUUGAGAUCAUCUAGUAUUUAUUUAUUAAUUAAUAAAAGUAAAUACCUUUUUAUAAUUUGAAGUGGUUCACUGCCAAGCCAAUAGUUCUAGAACCUGCCUCCUUUACAGUUUAAGGGAUGCCUCUGUUCUGUGAAAGUCUUUUUUGUCCCUUUAGCGUCUCGGGAGUGGAUUCAUGCAGAUGAAGUGGGCAUUGCUUCUCCCUAGUUGCCUGGUUUCUUGAUAGACAGCAUGUAACUAAAUAACACACUGCUUUUCUUUUGUUUCAUGUGAGAGAGUGUAUGUGUGUGCGCCUGUGUGUUUGUAUGUGUACCCUCUGAGCACAUGUGUGUUGGUAUGUGAUGUGGUUUAAAACUAAUGGAAAAAAACUGAAAGUGCCUGAACCUAAUUUUAAGCAUAGACAGAUUCUCUUUAAAAAGACUUGAAUGUUCAGUUGAACUUUUGGAGUUUGUUUUUUCCACCUAAAUACUGUUUCUAAAAAUUUAGGGAAGGAGUUGAAAACCACCAAUGCUAAUAAUUUUAUAAGGUGUUUUAAAAUAAGGCUUUUUGGUUCAUAGUAAUUCAGAUGGUGGUGGAUUGCCCAGUGGCACCAAGGGUUACAAAUCUUUUUGUCAUCCAGCAGCUUACAUGAUGUUUUCCGUUUUGUUAUCCUCUCAUAAAAUAUUCAGUUUAAAAUCAAAUAUUUAAAGUUUUUGUAUUCCAAAAAUAUAAUACAAAGUACCUCUGAGAACAUUGAAAAAAAUGUAUAAUUUGAAAAUUAAUUUAUAAAGGCAGCUGUCUUCCUGCAAGAGUUCUGUUGCCAAGGAAUUUCUUAAUAUCUCUCAUUCUGUUCUGGGGAAAAUGUUGAACUUUGGAAAAUGAUUAUUAAAAAUUUCAUUGUUUAGAAGAAAAUAAUGAUUUUUACAUGUUGUGUAAAACAUUUUACAUUUUCAGAUGAUUUAAAUGAGCACUACAUACUGUCAGUGUGAAUGUAGGGGCUUGAAAGCAUUUUGCUGUUUUUUUGUUUUGUUCGUUUUUUGAGCUUGGUUAUAAAAGCAAUCUCCUGUGUUAAAGUGUGUGAAUAGUUUGAUAAUUUGUACACAUAAUCAAGAGCAUCUCAGCUGGACUUUGUGUUGGCUGCUGUAUAGAACAUGAACAAAUGUCAAGGGAUAGAAAAUUACUUUGGAUAUUUAAAAGAGAAGAAAUAUAUAGUCUAUUUGUUUUGUAACAAGUUUCUGUAAAUAAAAUAAUUUAUACUAUUUA